AAAAAACUAACUAAAAUUCUCUCAAACAUCUCUCCCCUCUCCAGACAUCCGGUCAGAGGAACGGCCAACCACCACCACCCCGACCGCCGGUCACCGGCGACAGCGCCGCCGUCCGCGGUUGCCGGAAAGUCGAAAAGGUGGUUGGUGGCCGGUGGCAGAGUUGGUGGCUGAUGAUGGCUGCGAACAGAGGGCGGGUGAGGAGGCCAGGAGCAGGUGCAGCACAACAGGGGGCUAGGGUUUCUGCUAGGUGUUUAGGUUUUGGGCUGAUUGGGCUGUUAGGGUUUUUAUUUUUUUGGGCUUUGUUUGGUUGUAAUGGGUAGAGGUUUAGGUUUGUAUUUGGGUUGUUGGGUCAAUUUGGGCUGGUUCUGUUUGGUGCUUUAGGUGUUGUAAUUGGGCCAUUCGGGUUUGGGUUUAGUCUAGGUGGGUUAAUUUGGGCUCUGCUGGUUGGGCCAUCUGAUUUGGGUUUAUUGGUUUUAUUUUCUCUGGUGGGCCGGGCAAAUUUGGGCUUCUACAAUGUAGGUAGGUGUUUAUUUCUUAGAUUCCAUAGGUUUAACUGAGUCUUAAUAGUGUUUGGAACUUGUUAUAUUAGCGCUUUAAUCCAUAGAAAUGAAUUGGUGUAACUUAGGGUCAAGUUAGGAACCAUUUGGUAGGUUCCAGGUUAGACAGUAAGUCACAUGACGAUGUCCACUAUCCUGACAUCGCCACAUUCUCGAUCAAAGUUAUGACUUGUCCCUUCCAUGUUGCGACAUGGCCAAGCAUGUAGGGAUGCUACGAUGUCCCCUAUUUUCACGUCGCAACUUAACUUACUAUUUUAGCAUCAAGUCCCCAAUCCCACCGAAGCACAAUUAGAACACAAAUUAUGUGUUUCGGAAUGUUUAAAAAUGCUCUCGUAUCUUGUUUAAUUUCAUCGUGUUCUGGUAUAUGUUUAGAAACUUGUUUUGUUAGUGUCUAAAUGUUUGAUUGGAUAGGAGUUGCUCCGACAACGAAUGUGACGUCACGCACUCAGAUUCGGCGAACGAGCCAGGUUGGGGUGUCACAAUGCCUUUCAUAAAUUUUGCUAAUGUGAAUUGGUCAAAUUCUGCUAUUAGUCUUUGUACUAUGCAUAAGUUGUAGAUUCAAUCCCUAUACUUUAAUUUGGUCAAUCUUAGUAUUUGUACUUGUCAAAUUUUGAAAUCUUAGUAUUGACCAAAUGGUAGUUAUUAAAUUUGUUAGGUUAAAUUUUGUUAUUUGCAAAUCUUAUGUGGUAAAUAUAUUAUAACAAA
This is a long non-coding RNA of Gossypium raimondii (Peruvian cotton), 1262 nucleotides long. RefSeq lists it as uncharacterized. The transcript has 2 exons. Lineage: Eukaryota; Viridiplantae; Streptophyta; Magnoliopsida; Malvales; Malvaceae. The record is from RefSeq and is a predicted model, not a curated record.